UUUAUUCGCGGUAACUCAUAAAAAUUGAAGUUCAAUUUUUUUUAACAAGUCCCAUUUCCCUCUCAAACCCUCUUCCCAAUUCCCUCUCAAACCAUCAGAAGAAGAUGAUAAGAAGAUAACAUUUCCAUCAACGAUUCAUCUGCUUCGACACCAACAGAUCAUAUAUUGUCGUCUCGCCAUCACAGAAUAUCAGAUUUCUGGUAUUCUCCCGGUGUUGUUGAGGUGGAGAUGGACGGUUGUGAUUAAUCGGGUGUUGAGUUGGUUGGUGGUCCAAUGGUAGGUGGUGGCUGAAGUGGUAAUAGGGGCGGCGUCUAAACGCUGUUGUGAUUGUUGUUCUGGUGCGUCAUUUCUCAAUCUUACACAGUUCAAUUAGAUUUGGAUUCUGAUCCGCAGUGGUGAUUUGUUGAUAUUAAAUCUCAUGAUUAUGAGUUGCACACCACUUGCUCGAUGAAUUGCUUCGAUGAAAAGUUUUGUUCAUUGGCUACAAUACACAUGUGCUAGGCAGGCUAUAAACUUAACGGGAAGGUUGAUUUCUAUCUUUGAUGCACAUUAACCAAUUAUCAAGUAGUGAGGAUACUUUUGAUUCAUGUCAAAAGUAAAAGUAAAAGAAAAAGUUCAAUUUUUGUGCCCGAAACAACCAUUUACCAGUGCAGAACCAGCAGUACAAGUCCAUGCAGCAACUCAACAGGUCAACGCUUCAGCUGUGCCACCAACGACACCCAAUCCAAAGGCUAACCAAAUCAAGCGUCCUCAUGUCGGGUCGGCAGCCGAACGCCAAGAAGGUGCAUGGCGAAUCAAUAACCAGUAGGAAGCUUUUGAAUGACUUCAAAUGUUAAACAUGCUCUUGGAGGGUUGCCUUGAUGUCACAAUAUUGCAUUGGUUUGCCAUGCAUUUCUUUGAGUCAUCCAAUUCUAGGUGUGCUUUUUUCAAUCCACAAAAAAAUCACUGGAUCACGGUGUAAAACACUUCUUGAAGACGUUAAAAAAACAUAAAAGAAAAAUGUGAGCUUCAUUCUAAAAAAGUUUGCACCAUACUUAGCCGGUAAACAUUGGUCGCUUAUAAUUGUUUGCCCGGACUUCAAAUUCGGCUAUAUGGUUGAUUCCAUAAAUGAAGGGAAGACCCAUAAAAAUUACAUGCUCGUCAAGAUCAUUGAAGAAGUUUUUAAGAUUAAUUUUAAGUGGCACAUGGCAUAGUGCAAACAACAGAAAGGCAAUUGGGAAUGUGGGUAUAUGGUAAGCAAACAUAUGAAAGAGUUUAUCGACUCUAUACAACAUGAUUUGGUUAACCGACUUUAGAAUGAAGAAGGGUGUUUUGAAGAAUCUCAAAUUGAGAAUUUAGUAGUAGAUUUAAUGUCAGGAUUUAUUAAAAAGAUGUUUUGAUCUUGUAAGCAUUAGUUUGUGUUUCAUACUUUUGUAAUUCCGUAUACUUGAACGGGUUGUUUAAUACUAGUUAACUUUUGUCGU
This 1463-nucleotide long non-coding RNA is filed under the name Helianthus annuus (common sunflower). RNAcentral describes it as "hypothetical non coding rna". Lineage: Eukaryota; Viridiplantae; Streptophyta; Magnoliopsida; Asterales; Asteraceae. The record is from RNAcentral.